RNAcentral lists this long non-coding RNA (882 nucleotides) under Mus caroli (Ryukyu mouse). Its description in RNAcentral is "predicted gene 5087 (MGP_CAROLIEiJ_G0005015.1)". Lineage: Eukaryota; Metazoa; Chordata; Mammalia; Rodentia; Muridae. The record is from RNAcentral.
AGAUCCCGCGCGCGGGCGCGCAAUCUGCUCCAGGCUCCGGGGAAACUUUGGGGCUGCUGGUUGGCAACAGUGGACUAAUGUCCUCAUCAUGAAGGCUGCGGGCUGCAAGAGGAGAAGGGACUCCAACUCCAGAUGGCACCUCCUGCUAGCCCAAGGGCCAAGAGAUCCAAUUCCUCCAGUUUUAUUUCCAGCUUUUUAAUAUCCUUGCAGCCUCAGAGUGCGUAAAGCAAACUAUCAUUGCCAGCAUUUAGUUAUAUACUGAUGAGUCCAACGAACCUCUGAACUAAAGUUGUCUGUGGCACUGAGAAGUAACUAAGAAGGCACUGACAGAAGGACCUGACUUGUGGACCUUGGUAGCUUUCCAUGAGGGUGGGUGUUAUCAUACAUGUUUCUCAAUGAUGGUUCCUGUAGAAUCUGGCCUUCAAAGGCUAGAGAUUUUUCUUCACUAAAUCUAUGGAACAAAAUUCUCUUCCUCAACUGCAGAAGCUUCAUAACAUUCUGUUUAUGAAAAGCAAACAUUCUCUAUUUUGUUUUUAUUUACAUUUAUUUGUCUGUGCCAUGUGUCCACUGAAGUAAGUCAUACAAUGUACAAGAAUAAAAAGAAAUUUAGACCAAAAGAAGAAAUGACAUAAGAUACUAUCUAACAUGUUUGUGUCCUGAUUUUUAGUGGCCACAUAGAUAUUUGUGUCUCCUUUACUUUUGUUAUUGUCUUGAAAAGCUACAAUAAAUAUUAUUGCUCAUAAAGCUUAAGAUUUAUGUUUGAAUAUGACAAUGAAAACUUUAUCAUGGGAAUUCCUGGGACAAAAAGCAUGUUCUCAAUGUUGAUGGAUGUCAUCACCUUCCCCUCUACAACAAUUAAACUGACUCCCAUCUUCCAUAGCA